CUUGAUGGAGCCCAGCCACAGCGGCCGGCCCUCCUCCCGGCCCUGGCCGUAGGUCGCCAGCAGCGCCUGCGCCUC
This 75-nucleotide antisense RNA is filed under the name Streptomyces sp. CNZ288. RNAcentral's name for it is "ASpks TB sRNA". It matches the Rfam family "ASpks TB sRNA". The record is from RNAcentral. Lineage: Bacteria; Bacillati; Actinomycetota; Actinomycetes; Kitasatosporales; Streptomycetaceae.